UCUAAGGAUGAAAGCAGGGGACCGCAAGGCCUUGUGCUCCUGGAGCGGCCGAUAUCUGAUUAGCUAGUUGGUGGGGUAAAGGCCCACCAAGGCAUCGAUCAGUAGCUGGUCUGAGAGGACGACCAGCCACACUGGAACUGAGACACGGUCCAGACUCCUACGGGAGGCAGCAGUGGGGAAUUUUGGACAAUGGGCGCAAGCCUGAUCCAGCAAUGCCGCGUGAGUGAAGAAGGCCUUCGGGUUGUAAAGCUCUUUUGUCAGGGAAGAAACGGCCGUUUCUAAUACAGAUGGCUAAUGACGGUACCUGAAGAAUAAGCACCGGCUAACUACGUGCCAGCAGCCGCGGUAAUACGUAGGGUGCAAGCGUUAAUCGGAAUUACUGGGCGUAAAGCGUGCGCAGGCGGUUUUGUAAGUCUGUCGUGAAAUCCCCGGGCUCAACCUGGGAAUGGCGAUGGAGACUGCAAGGCUAGAGUUUGGCAGAGGGGGGUAGAAUUCCACGUGUAGCAGUGAAAUGCGUAGAUAUGUGGAGGAACACCGAUGGCGAAGGCAGCCCCCUGGGUCAAAACUGACGCUCAUGCACGAAAGCGUGGGGAGCAAACAGGAUUAGAUACCCUGGUAGUCCACGCCCUAAACGAUGUCUACUAGUUGUCGGGUCUUAAUUGACUUGGUAACGCAGCUAACGCGUGAAGUAGACCGCCUGGGGAGUACGGUCGCAAGAUUAAAACUCAAAGGAAUUGACGGGGACCCGCACAAGCGGUGGAUGAUGUGGAUUAAUUCGAUGCAACGCGAAAAACCUUACCUACCCUUGACAUGGAAGGAAUCCCGGAGAGGUUUGGGAGUGCCCGAAAGGGAACCUUUACACAGGUGCUGCAUGGCUGUCGUCAGCUCGUGUCGUGAGAUGUUGGGUUAAGUCCCGCAACGAGCGCAACCCUUGUCAUUAGUUGCUACGAAAGAGCACUCUAAUGAGACUGCCGGUGACAAACCGGAGGAAGGUGGGGAUGACGUCAAGUCCUCAUGGCCCUUAUGGGUAGGGCUUCACACGUCAUACAAUGGUACAUACAGAGGCCGCCAACCCGCGAGGGGGAGCUAAUCCCAGAAAGUGUAUCGUAGUCCGGAUUGUAGUCUGCAACUCGACUGCAUGAAGUUGGAAUCGCUAGUAAUCGCGGAUCAGCAUGUCGCGGUGAAUACGUUCCCGGGUCUUGUACACACCGCCCGUCACACCAUGGGAGCGGGUUUUACCAGAAGUAGGUAGCUUAACCGU
RNAcentral lists this ribosomal RNA (1261 nucleotides) under metagenome. RNAcentral describes it as "bacterial SSU rRNA". It matches the Rfam family "Bacterial small subunit ribosomal RNA", at positions 193 to 1442 of the family's 1533-position model. The record is from RNAcentral.